UACGGAGGAUGCAAGCGUUAUCCGGAAUGAUUGGGCGUAAAGCGUCCGCAGGUGGCAAUGUAAGUCUGCUGUCAAAGCGUCUGGCUCAACCAGAUAAAGGCAGUGGAAACUACAUAGCUAGAGUAAGGUAGGGGUAGAGGGAAUUCCUGGUGUAGCGGUGAAAUGCGUAGAGAUCAGGAAGAACACCGGUGGCGGAAGCGCUCUGCUGGACCUUAACUGACACUGAGGGACGAAAGCUAGGGGAGCGAAUGGG
RNAcentral lists this ribosomal RNA (253 nucleotides) under uncultured bacterium. RNAcentral describes it as "partial 16S ribosomal RNA". It matches the Rfam family "Bacterial small subunit ribosomal RNA", at positions 524 to 776 of the family's 1533-position model. The record is from RNAcentral.